CAAAAACAUAGCCUAUAGCAACACAAGUAUUAUAGGCGUAGCCUGCCCAGUGAAACUCUUUUAAACGGCCGCGGUAUCCUAACCGUGCAAAGGUAGCGCAAUCACUUGUCCCCUAAAUAGGGACCAGUAUKAAUGGCCAAAUGAGGGUCUACCUGUCUCCUGCGCCUAAUCAAUGAAACUGAUCUCCCGGUACAAAAGCCGGAAUAGCCACAUAAGACGAGAAGACCCUGUGGAGCUUCAAACUAGUAACUACCAGCACUAGUUACCCGUUUUAAGUUGGGGCAACUUUGGAAAUAAAAUAACCUCCAAGACAAACAGGCACCUACCCCUGAACUAAGGUCAACACACCAAAGGAAAACCUUCAGACCCAGUAAUACUGAGCAACGAACCAAGUUACCCCAGGGAUAACAGCGCUAUCUUCCCCCAGAGUUCAUAUCGACAGGAAGGAUUACGACCUCGAUGUUGGAUCAGGACAUCCAAGUGGUGCAGCCGCCACUAAAGGUUCGUUUGUUCAACGAUUAAAGUCCUACGUGAUCUGAGUU
RNAcentral lists this ribosomal RNA (542 nucleotides) under Lepidophyma flavimaculatum (yellow-spotted night lizard). Its description in RNAcentral is "partial 16S ribosomal RNA". It matches the Rfam family "Bacterial large subunit ribosomal RNA", at positions 1808 to 2611 of the family's 2925-position model. The record is from RNAcentral. Lineage: Eukaryota; Metazoa; Chordata; Lepidosauria; Squamata; Xantusiidae.